AUUGAACGCUGGCGGCAUGCCUUACACAUGCAAGUCGAACGGCAGCACGGGAGCUUGCUCCUGGUGGCGAGUGGCGAACGGGUGAGUAAUACAUCGGAACAUACCCAGUAGUGGGGGAUAACGCACCGAAAGGUGCGCUAAUACCGCAUACGACCUACGGGUGAAAGCGGGGGACCGUAAGGCCUCGCGCUAUUGGAGCGGCCGAUGUCUGAUUAGCUAGUUGGCGGGGUAAAAGCCCACCAAGGCGGCGAUCAGUAGCUGGUCUGAGAGGCCGAUCAGCCACACUGGGACUGAGACACGGCCCAGACUCCUACGGGAGGCAGCAGUGGGGAAUUUUGGACAAUGGGGGCAACCCUGAUCCAGCAAUGCCGCGUGUGCGAAGAAGGCCUUCGGGUUGUAAAGCACUUUUGUCAGGGAAGAAAUCUUUCAGGCUAAUACCCUUGGAAGGAUGACGGUACCUGAAGAAUAAGCACCGGCUAACUACGUGCCAGCAGCCGCCGUAA
RNAcentral lists this ribosomal RNA (503 nucleotides) under uncultured bacterium. RNAcentral's name for it is "partial 16S ribosomal RNA". It matches the Rfam family "Bacterial small subunit ribosomal RNA", at positions 30 to 523 of the family's 1533-position model. The record is from RNAcentral.